GUCCACGCCGUAAACGAUGGAUGCUAGCCGUUGGCAGGCUUGCCUGUCAGUGGCGCAGCUAACGCAUUAAGCAUCCCGCCUGGGGAGUACGGUCGCAAGAUUAAAACUAAAAGGAAUUGACGGGGGCCCCGCACAAGCGGUGGAGCAUGUGGUUCAAUUCGAAGCAACGCGCAGAACCUUACCAACCUUUGACAUCCCGGUCGCGGGCACCAGAGAUGGAGCCCUUCAGUUCGGCUGGACCGGAGACAGGUGCUGCAUGGCUGUCGU
RNAcentral lists this ribosomal RNA (267 nucleotides) under uncultured bacterium. Its description in RNAcentral is "partial 16S ribosomal RNA". It matches the Rfam family "Bacterial small subunit ribosomal RNA", at positions 793 to 1055 of the family's 1533-position model. The record is from RNAcentral.